This 449-nucleotide ribosomal RNA is filed under the name uncultured bacterium. RNAcentral describes it as "partial 16S ribosomal RNA". It matches the Rfam family "Bacterial small subunit ribosomal RNA", at positions 338 to 795 of the family's 1533-position model. The record is from RNAcentral.
CCUACGGGGGGCUGCAGUGGGGAAUUUUGGACAAUGGGGGCAACCCUGAUCCAGCCAUGCCGCGUGAGUGAAGAAGGCCUUCGGGUUGUAAAGCUCUUUCGGCCGGGAAGAAAUCGCUCAAGCUAAUACCUUGGGUGGAUGACGGUACCGGAAGAAGAAGCACCGGCUAACUACGUGCCAGCAGCCGCGGUAAUACGUAGGGUGCGAGCGUUAAUCGGAAUUACUGAGCGUACGCCGUGCGAAGGCGGCGAACUCCCCGGGCUUAAACUGGGAACUGCGUUUGUGACUGUGGGGGUCGAGUGCGGCAGAGGGGGGUGGAAUUCCACGUGUAGCAGUGAAAUGCGUAGAGAUGUGGAGGAACACCGAUGGCGAAGGCAGCCCCCUGGGUCGACACUGACGCUCAUGCACGAAAGCGUGGGGAGCAAACAGGAUUAGAUACCCCGGUAGUC